Molecule: ribosomal RNA, 543 nt
Filed under: fungal sp.
Lineage: Eukaryota; Fungi
Description: eukaryotic LSU rRNA
Rfam family: 5.8S ribosomal RNA (bases 166-319)
Source: RNAcentral
GGGCUCGGUAUGACGCGGGCUGGACCUCUCGGGGUUACAGCCUUGCUGAAUUAUUCACCCUUGUCUUUUGCGUACUUCUUGUUUCCUUGGUGGGUUCGCCCACCACUAGGACAAACAUAAACCUUUUGUAAUUGCAAUCAGCGUCAGUAACAAAUUAAUAAUUACAACUUUCAACAACGGAUCUCUUGGUUCUGGCAUCGAUGAAGAACGCAGCGAAAUGCGAUAAGUAGUGUGAAUUGCAGAAUUCAGUGAAUCAUCGAAUCUUUGAACGCACAUUGCGCCCUUUGGUAUUCCAAAGGGCAUGCCUGUUCGAGCGUCAUUUGUACCCUCAAGCUUUGCUUGGUGUUGGGCGUCUUGUCUCUAGCUUUGCUGGAGACUCGCCUUAAAGUAAUUGGCAGCCGGCCUACUGGUUUCGGAGCGCAGCACAAGUCGCACUCUCUAUCAGCAAAGGUCUAGCAUCCAUUAAGCCUUUUUUUCAACUUUUGACCUCGGAUCAGGUAGGGAUACCCGCUGAACUUAAGCAUAUCAAAAAACCGGGAGGAA